UUAAGAUUUCAUGAUGAACACAGUCAAAUGCCUUGGAUAAAUCACAGAAAAUAUAAACGGCAUCCUGACAAUUAUCCCAGGCUUCAAAAAUUUGCUGAAUAAGCUCAACACCAGCAUCUGUUGUUGAGCGACCCCUUGUAAAAUCAAAUUGUUUAGUGCUCAUUAAAUUGUUACCAUAUAAAUGAUUAAGCAAUUGUUGUAGAAUAAGCUUUUCAAAUAUUUUACUUAGCGUCGGUAGAAUAGAUAUUGGUCUAAAAUUUGUGGGGUCAGAAGAACUACCGGCUUUGAAUAAUGGAAUGACUUUACUCUGUUUCAUCAAAUCAGAAACACACCAUUGUCAACACAUAAGUUAAAUAUGACAACCAAGUAUGGAGCAAUACAAUCAGCUAUGGAGUGAAUUAUUUUAACGAAAAAGCCAUCAAGAUCAGCAACCUUUUUCAAUUCUACUGAUUUAAAGGCUUUCAUUACAUCAUUGUAAGUAACAUGAGUGAAUUUGAACUCUAUUUUACAUUCAUUUACAUUAGACAUAAUUAUAGAUUCAGCAAGAGUGGCAGAUGACUUUAGGGCCUUGGUGGUGAAAACUGGAAUAUCAGCAAAAAAUCUUUCAAAAGCAUCCGCAACAUCUUGGAGGCGCGACACCAAAAGCCACAGCAUGGGAGAUUGAAUGUUAACGCACCCUGGACCGUAGACGGGCCACGGGCGCGGGCGGGGCGACGUGUGCGGCGCACGCUUGCUGUCUUCAUGUAAUAAGUUACGGCGGGAUCGGCGCUCACGAGGUUCGCGCAUGGCGCAGAUCAAACAUCUGUCAGAAGUCAAAAACAUAUGUUAAUUUUAUGUCGAUGUUGUAGUGAGGUGACUUUUCGAGAAUCAUACAAUAAUUUGUAUUUUUUGUUUUUUUUUACUGUCACAAUAUUUUGUUUAUUUUUUUUUAUUUACUUAAAGCGCUGCUUUCUCAUUAUACAAUAUAUUGUGUUACAUAUAAGUACAGCUACGUACAAUAUUUAAAAUAAAAGUUGUAAAUAAUUAAUUGUAUAAAAUACGAAGAAAGUUGAUCAAAGUGUACCUAUUUGUUAAAUACCAUUUAAUUUUUACUAUAAGUUUAUCAAAAAUAAUUAAGUGUUAAAAUAUUAAUAACAUUAUAAUAUUUAUAUGCCGCACUUCGUAAAGAGAAUAAUAUUAUACAUAUAGUUACCUAUUGCUCGGGUCGCAAGGUGUGCUAGAUUUGCCAAAUGAGACGAUACAGAUUUAUAUUGUUAUAAUUAAUGACCUAUUAAUAAGUUGUAAGCAAGUAUAAUAUAGUAAUUAGACAUAUAGUAAGGCGGGUGCUGUUAUGAGUUGUAUGAGUGUAUUGGUGGCUACACCAAUGACCAUGUACGUUCAAAGUGGGCUGUCCAUAUACAUAUAGUUUUGAUAAAGAUAUAUUUGAUUCAUGUAAAGGAACAUUUUAUGAGCAUUGUCCAAAUGAACAUAUUAUUUACCUAGUUUUCCUAUUUUUUUUUUCGCAUGUAUAGUAGAGAUUAUAUAAUAGUCGUAUAAAUUGGUCGGCGACGUUGAAACCAGCCUGUAUAAAGUAUUCAGACGAUACAAGUAAAGCUUGUUAGUUAAAGUUAUUGCAGUAGAUAAUAAUCGCAACCAGUCGCCAAUACAACAGGUAGGUGCACUUUCUACAGAUAUGUAAUAAAUAAUUAUAUUUGGCUGUUGUCUCACAUUCAUAUAUUUAAUAUUAUGAUAUUAUUAUUAAUAUGUUUGAAUGUAAGGGGUGAUACAGUGUUUGUUAUCCAGCAGAGUGCAGAAUUGAUUCAGAUAAUAUUAUGUAUUUAGGGUUACCUUUGCUGUUUUGUUUUAUGUCGAACAGUCAAUGUAUAGCUACGGGCACAAAAUAUUGAAGUAACUUUACACGGUUGCCAAAUCUUAACAAAGAGCACCUAUCUAAUUUGAUAUCUAUCAUUAUGCUUAUUACGUUGAACUGGCACAUGUCAUUUUUAUAUCACCACAUUAUGGGUAUGUUCCGCUAUGCACUGCAACUGCAACCCACACACUGUACACAGUGACGUGUAGUCAUGUUAGUCUACUGUGACACCGCGACCGUUACUACUUACAACGGAACGCAAUCCCCUAUACUGUCAGCCGCAUUUUUUGAAGUAGCAUUCAAGUUAGUGUAUUAACUUUUUCUAGUUCAUUAAAAAAAACUGUUGUUGGAGUACUGUCAAAUUAAAAAUAUUAGCCGUAAACGUUAGGCACUCGAGCGGUUUUAACUGACCACGUGAUCAAAGUACUUAAAGUAGGUAAUCAAGAGUACCUUAACUCGAAAACGCCAGUGCUCACAGUAGAAUAUGGUGGCGAUUUAUGACGUCAUAUAUUUCCCUAGGGUACUGCGACAGUCCAUAACUGAACGAAUUUUUCUACAGUGAUAGCACUGCGCAGUGCAUAUCGGAACACACUCUAUGUAAUUAUUUUCCAAAGCUAUAAUUUAUACGAUAAUCGUGUAUGACAUAGGUGUAUGUAUUUAAAUCAGUAUUAAUUUUGUUUGUUAAUUGAAUCGCUUGACAUUUAUUUGCAUUAUCAUAUUACCGUCGUAUUACCGACUUGUUUGCCCAUAUUCAAUUAUAUCCACAAUCAGUUUAUUAAGUUAUUUUUAUUUUACAAUUAUAUCUCAUAUUCAGCUUCCGGGCUGACUGCCGAGGUGUCGGAUCUCGUCAGUUUUAUGUUUAAUGCAAGGACCUGAACUACCUUUAGUUUUUAUAGAUUUAUUUACAGUUUAUAUAAUAAAUGCAUUGUAAAUUC
Leptidea sinapis is the source of this 2784-nucleotide long non-coding RNA. RefSeq lists it as uncharacterized. Lineage: Eukaryota; Metazoa; Arthropoda; Insecta; Lepidoptera; Pieridae. The record is from RefSeq and is a predicted model, not a curated record. The transcript has 2 exons.